Molecule: ribosomal RNA, 397 nt
Filed under: uncultured bacterium
Lineage: Bacteria
Description: partial 16S ribosomal RNA
Rfam family: Bacterial small subunit ribosomal RNA
Source: RNAcentral
AUACGUAGGGGGCGAGCGUUGUCCGGAAUGAUUGGGCGUAAAGGGCGCGUAGGCGGCGCGGUAAGUCUGGAGUGAAAGUCCCGCAUUCAAUGUGGGGAUUGCUUUGGAUACUGCAGUGCUAGAGUGCGGAAGAGGUAAGUGGAAUUCCCAGUGUAGCGGUGAAAUGCGUAGAGAUUGGGAGGAACACCAGUGGCGAAGGCGACUUACUGGGCCGUAACUGACGCUGAGGCGCGAAAGCGUGGGGAGCGAACAGGAUUAGAUACCCUGGUAGUCCACGCGGUAAACGAUGAAUGCUAGGUGUUGCGGGUAUCGACCCCUGCAGUGCCGGAGUAAACACAAUAAGCAUUCCGCCUGGGGAGUACGGCCGCAAGGUUGAAACUCAAAUGAAUUGACGGGG